This 253-nucleotide ribosomal RNA is filed under the name uncultured bacterium. Its description in RNAcentral is "partial 16S ribosomal RNA". It matches the Rfam family "Bacterial small subunit ribosomal RNA", at positions 524 to 776 of the family's 1533-position model. The record is from RNAcentral.
UACGUAGGGACCAAGCGUUGUUCGGAUUUACUGGGCGUAAAGGGCGCGUAGGCGGCUUAACAAGUCACUUGUGAAAUCUCCGGGCUUAACUCGGAACGGCCAAGUGAAACUGUCAAGCUAGAGUGCAGAAGGGGCAAUCGGAAUUCUUGGUGUAGCGGUGAAAUGCGUAGAUAUCAGGAGGAACACCGGUGGCGAAGGCGGGUCUCUGGGCCGAUACUGACGCUGAGGAGCGAAAGCGUGGGGAGCGAACAGG